Molecule: non-coding RNA, 146 nt
Filed under: human gut metagenome
Description: malK-I RNA
Rfam family: malK-I RNA
Source: RNAcentral
AGCCGAGAGCCAAAAGAAGGAGGAAAAAUCCGCUGGCCGGCGGUGCGGCAAUGUGGAGACUUGCCGUAAUGCCCCUGGAGUUCCACUCUCCAGAGGGCGAGACUGGGUUUGCGGAGGCAUCCCAGCCACGGCCCAUGUGUAUGGCA